Grus americana (Whooping crane) is the source of this 2474-nucleotide long non-coding RNA. RefSeq lists it as uncharacterized. NCBI's taxonomy places the organism in Eukaryota, Metazoa, Chordata, Aves, Gruiformes, Gruidae. The transcript is spliced from 6 exons. The record is from RefSeq and is a predicted model, not a curated record.
AGGGCGCGGAGGGUGCGGUGGCGCGGCCGAGGCCGAGGCCUGUGCCAAUGCCGGCCCCGUCCCGCCUCGCCGGGAGAUGAAACGUGUCUAAAGCCUUUCCGCGCUGUGGGCUCCGCUCCGAUUCCACGUUCUUCCCUAAGAGAAGCGGAAAGGUUUCUGUCUCCCUAUUGGAUCCACCCAGAGCCCAGUCCUGGAGGUAGCUUUGUUAGGAGUAAUCUUACUUCAAAACCCAGGCAUCAAUAUUUGGAAGAACUGAGAAAAAGGCUGUGUGGGGAACUUCUCAUGGAAGACUGAAAACCAAGGUGUAAGUCAGGUUACUGCUGCUGUUACGCAUGCUGUUACGCAGUUCGCCAAAGUGGAGCCCUGCUUUGAAGGGGAUUGCAACCUGAUGCAAGAGGGCUCUCCUCUGCAGAUCGCAGCCCCAACCCAGCCUAAACUUCUGGAUGUAGUUGGUAACAUGAAAGUUAUGUUUCAUUGGAACCCACAUCUGAUACUGCAUACUCUGAAUUGUUUGCACUCAGACCUUGGACCUUGAGGUGUUUCAGAAAGACAAAGAAUACUGUGUGAGAUGAUCAGCACUGAGACUGAAAGUAUUGCACAUACUGAGCUCUGAUUGAGUGCAUUUCACCCUAAAGAAAACCUGAAACACCAUGGAAAUUUCUACCAUUCCAACAUCAUGACUGAUCCCUCUGGAGGAACGAAUUCUUAGAUGCGUUAACACCGUGCCAGAAGAGCAGCAGAGCAGAUUACAAGCCAUAGCUUCAUCGCUGCAUUUCAGACUCCUAUUUGUAUACGACACAAUAUAUGGGUUUUCAUAUGCUGCCAAGAAAUCAAGUUUGGGAAAAAAGGGCGCGAGAACUUUUCAUCUGCAAUUCAGUUUGAAUAACAAGUUGUUAAAAAAGCACUUUGAAAUGUAAAUAGCAGUUUUGCAAAGUCUAUUAAUAGUUUCAAUAACUUCACUGCUCAGUGGCUCUGUAUUCCAGACGUUUGUGUCUCAGCUUGCUCCUUAGCAAGGGAAGAGCCAGUUGCGCUUCCCUGACGUCCCACUCGGCACAGCACAGGCUCCCUCUCCACUGCGGCACAGGCUGAAAUGCUGAUCUCAUGUUUGGUCUUUUGACAAAUUUUCAUUUAAUGAAUUGAUUCCUACAGUUCAUUAACAUACCCACUUCCACUUCUGUAUACACAUAUGUCUUAAUUAGCUGCUCAUUGGCUGUUUAAUUACAAGAAAACAGCUGACAGCUGCCUUGCUGCAUCCUAAUGGCAGACGGUUUGGAAUGACUGUAUGCAAGCCUGUGACAACAAAGGCUUAUUCAUAAUCCCAUGAUUUAUGGCUAAUACUUAAAGACUUCCACGUAUCAUUAAGUUUUGCAAUAUUCUGUGCAAUUAACAAUUAGUUGAGGGGGGUGGGGUGUCAUUCUUUUACUGUUUUCCAAAGCAAACUAUUGCAGAUUUUCUUUAAAGAAACAUCAAAAAAAGUAGCCAUACGAAAGAUCAACAUUCAAAUGGGAUUUUUAACCCUUUUAUGACAAUAAGCCCAUAUUUUAGUUGUAAAGGAAGGAGAGUGCUGUGACAAUAUUGUUUGUUUAAUAAACUUUGUUAAUAAAGUAUUUGUAGUGCCACUGGAAACAGAGAAAAGAUGUUCAGUUUUACAUGUGUGGUGAAGACAGGAGUGAGAUUGUGUUUAUCAGGUUAUAGGAGGCUCUGACUAGCCCUUUCUGCAACAUGGCUCAUCUCUUUUCUAACAUGUUUUGCUUGAAAUUGGCUAGGCAAAAAAAUGAACGGAAAAAUUCACAAGCAUGACUUUGAGGUCAGUGUUUGCAAUGCCGACAUCACGCUCCAUGUUCAAUAAAGUAAUGAACAACUGGCCAGUAAAGAAAGUGAAUGAAUGAAAGGAAUGAACAAAAGUAAUGCAAGAUGGGAAGUGGCAGUACACCAGCUGUUGUUUUCUGAAGUAACACGGACAUUCUUUGUAGUUACAAUGAGCGAGACCAUUUUAGGUCUUAACAGACACAAGAGCCAAAAGCCAGUACCUAUCAACCUCUGAAAAUGUGAAAGGUGCCCAGAAACGCCCUGCGUGGAUGGUUUUAUGAGACCAACUGCGUACAGCAAGUAAAGAGAGGGAUCACACUAAUGCAUUUGUGGGUCAGUUGGGCAUGAACUGACACUAUCGAAGUCACUGCAUCUGCAAAUUAAAAGACAUGGUUCAUUACCAAAAGCCUCAUUUCAACCUAAAUGCUUUGCUAUGUCCUUUUGAAGCAUUCAGGUAUUUUCUGACAGUGCUGAACUGGAUUCACCUUUCAGCUAUGAAAAAAGAAUACAGGUGUGUACAAACCAGUCUCCCUUCUCAGCAUGGUCCCGAAUAGGGAGCAAAAGGUUGUUAGCGGGUUCCCACAACUAACGGUUAAGGAGGUGCUCCAUACAGAUACCAGUUUUUUCAGUAGUGCUACUACAAUAGUGGUAUUUCCAAUCUUACA